AAUAGGGCACUCCUGCAAAGGGAAGAUGGAUAUCCUAGGCAUGAAGUCCAAGACAAUAGCCUAAGGAAUGGAGAGGUCCAAAAAGUAGGUUUCUCGGUGUGAAAGCUUGCACAGAACAUCACCCACCUGCUUGGACGGCUCACUUCUGGACUGUUAGAGGGAAAUAACUGGACUGAAGAGGGAAAUAAAGUCCUGUCUUCUCCUCCAUCCAGGAGCCACGAGGAGCCCACCCAGAGUCACCGCAUUGGAACAAAAGAUGCUCCUAGUGCUCUUAUCACCUAGGAACUUACAGAGGUUUCAGGCAUUGUGUCAGGAACUGGGUAAUCUCUACACCCAAUUGUGGGCCACAAACUCAUGACCCUGGGAUCAAGAGUCGCAUGCUCUUCUGACUGAGCCACCCAGGCACCCGCUAAAUGAUUGCUUGCUUUGCAUACAUUAAGACUCACUCUUUGCACUACAGAGUUCUGUGGGGUUCAACAAAUGAAUAGUGUCAUGUAUGCACAUUUACAGUAUCAUGCAGGAUAUUUGAACUGUCCUAAGAGAAUGCUCAGCGCUGUACCUGUUCAACCCUUUCUCCCCUCCUCCUGAGCUCCAGACAACCAUGGAACUUUUUUAAAAUUGAAGUAUAACUGAUAUAUUAUAUUAUAUUAGUUUCAGGUGUAGAACAUAAUGAUUUCAGAACUAUAUACAUUGCACAAUGUUCCUCAUGACGAGAGUAGUUAUUCUUUGUCACCUAUAACUGACUAUAUUCCCCGCGCUGUACUUUUCACCCCCGUGACUUACUUAUUUUAUAACUGGAAAUUUGUUCCUCUAAUUCCCUAAAUCCCCUUCACCUAUUUCACCUAUCUUCCCACUUACUCCCCUCUCGUAAUUACCACUAGUUCUCUGUAUUUAUGACUGUGUUUCUAAUUUUGUUGUUGUUUGUUUGUUCAUUUGUUUUAUUUUUCAGAUUUUAGAUCACACAGUAGUUUUGUUUCUCAGACUUAUUUCAGUUAGCAUAAUACCUUCUAGGUCUGUCCCUAUUGCAAAUGGCAAUAUUUUGCUUUUUUAUAGCUGAGUAAUAUAUAUAUAUAUA
Molecule: long non-coding RNA, 1075 nt
Organism: Mustela lutreola (European mink)
Lineage: Eukaryota; Metazoa; Chordata; Mammalia; Carnivora; Mustelidae
Exons: 3
Source: RefSeq, a predicted model, not a curated record